This 231-nucleotide unclassified non-coding RNA is filed under the name uncultured fungus. Its description in RNAcentral is "sequence contains ITS1, 5.8S rRNA gene". The stretch from base 183 to 231 matches the Rfam family "5.8S ribosomal RNA", at positions 1 to 49 of the family's 154-position model. The record is from RNAcentral. Lineage: Eukaryota; Fungi.
UCUCCGUAGGUGAACCUGCGGAGGGAUCAUUACUGAGUGAGGGCCUUCGGGCUCGACCUCCAACCCUUUGUGAAUCGUACUCGUUGCUUCGGGGGCGACCCUGCCGGCACUCUGUCGCCGGGCGCCCCCGAAGGUCUCCAAACACUGCAUCUUUGCGUCGGAGUUUAAAACAAAUUAAACAAAACUUUCAACAACGGAUCUCUUGGUUCUGGCAUCGAUGAAGAACGCAGC